UCAAAGGCUCUUUUAAGAGCCACCCUCAAUACUCACUAAAUGAGCU
Molecule: non-coding RNA, 46 nt
Organism: Chelonia mydas (Green sea turtle)
Lineage: Eukaryota; Metazoa; Chordata; Testudines; Cheloniidae
Source: Rfam